GGACUGUCCAGCAACGACAGUCAAAUGGCACCGACAUUCCUCCCAGUCAAAAACAGAACUGCACAGAGUCUCCUCCUUGAUGAAUGUCGUGGCCAAAAAAUGCUGAAAAAAGUCCACAUCAGGUCCACACGACAUAACAAACACAAAGUGACAAAACAAACACACACACAAAAAAAAAAGCAGGGCUAAUCAGAGCACUUGCCGACGGCUGCCCACUCAGACGCCAUCUUGACUUCAAAGUGUCAAUCUUAUCUUAAUUACUGAAGCCUGAAUUUGACCAUUGUCAUUUAUUUUAUCACUUCACCUUCAAAGGAUAAUUGAAACACUUUUGAUUACAAAUAAUAUAUAGCCAUCAUAAUUAAAAGCAUUUUUUAUCUGCCGUUUUUCUACUUGUACAAGGACAACAUAUUUGAUUUGUUUGUCAAAGUAUUUAUUGGUGUAAAUAAACAUUCUUUCUUGGUUGCUGACUUUAUCUACAAAUACUUAGCCAAUGUGGAUGCUGAGGAGUAUUCCUGCAUAAUUGUACAUCAUCCCAAUUGAAUUUUCACCUGCCUGUAAAUGACGACUACGUAAUUGUCACUCCUCACUUUCGUCAGCAGGUGGUUUCUUGUGUUUAAAAAAACUGUUAAGAAUGAUUUGGAACACAUUUUAUUCACAUUGACAAAUUCUUACAAACAUCAAUAUCAACAUUUUAAAUGGAAUAUAAAACUUCAGACCUUUGGGUAAAACUGAAAACUCCCAUCUUGCCUGAAACCAUCAUGAGAAUAAGUGGUGCAGAAAAUGGAAGGAAUGGAGAAUUAACAUGGAAUCGAUUGCAUUGUAAUAAUGCACAAUACACAAA
Long non-coding RNA from Hippocampus zosterae (dwarf seahorse), 841 nucleotides. RefSeq lists it as uncharacterized. The transcript has 2 exons. The record is from RefSeq and is a predicted model, not a curated record. NCBI's taxonomy places the organism in Eukaryota, Metazoa, Chordata, Actinopteri, Syngnathiformes, Syngnathidae.